AUGCACGUCUGCCGCUGUGCAAAGUGGUCUGGGUCGGCCCAGCGAGAUGCCUUGGAGCCCUUGGUGCAGACAAACAGAGAGGAAAGGUUUCUGAGUCAGCCCGUUCAAAACAAAAAGUUUUCCUGAGAACACGACUGAAUAAAGCUGGAAAAACCCACGUAUGCUUCUCUUCCUGCUGCUUGGACGUGAGCUUGUUUUAAAGAAACGAAAACGAGUUCUUAUCUGAUUCACACUGAAAUCCAACUGAGGUGGUUUAAAGCGUGAGAUCUACAGCAGGUAAGACGUUGUUCAACAUAACCUCGCUUUAACGUAUCAGUUUUCCUCCUGACUUAUUUAGUCAUGCACAAACAACUGCUGCUGCCAAGCUCUGCAGCAUCUGUAGUAGUGUAUACUUUUUAUUGCACGCUGCAUUAUUUUCUGUGUCCUUGAUUCUGCAGCG
This is a long non-coding RNA of Nothobranchius furzeri (turquoise killifish), 439 nucleotides long. RefSeq lists it as uncharacterized. The record is from RefSeq and is a predicted model, not a curated record. Lineage: Eukaryota; Metazoa; Chordata; Actinopteri; Cyprinodontiformes; Nothobranchiidae.